AGUCAAUCUGUGCACAGGCAAUAUCCAUAAUUGUAUUAUUUUUUCUUCCCAGCAGCAUCAUGUGAUCAAGAGCUCCAAUCAGCACUAGAAGAAGCUAAACAGCCCCAGAAAGAUAAUGUAUUCAUUCCAGAGUGUGCUAAUGGUGGGCUUUAUAAAUCAGUGCAGUGUCACCCAUCCACAGGAUAUUGCUGGUGUGUCCUUGUUGAUACAGGACGCCCAAUUCCUGGUACAUCCACAAGAUAUGAACAGCCAAAGUGUGAUAACAGUGCUAGAGCUCACCCAAGCAACACAAGAGACGUGUUCAAAGGGCGCCCAUUGCAAGGUUGUCCUGGUGCCAAAAAGAGUGAAUUUCUGACCAGUGUUCUAGAUGCACUUUCCACAGAUAUGGUGCAUGCUGUCUCUGACCCUGGAGUAUCUUCCAGCAGGUGGGUUCUUCUUUCCCAAAAGGAGUGGACAUUUCCU
This 462-nucleotide long non-coding RNA is filed under the name Pseudonaja textilis. RNAcentral describes it as "lncRNA (ENSPTXG00000008561.1)". The record is from RNAcentral. Lineage: Eukaryota; Metazoa; Chordata; Lepidosauria; Squamata; Elapidae.